UUCAGUAUUUUGACUGUGCGAAGGUAGCAUAAUCAUUUGUCUUUUAAUUGAAGGCUUGUAUGAAUGGUUUGAUGAGGGAAUAACUUUCUUUAUAUUAUAAAUUGAAUUUAAUUUUUUAGUUAAAAAGCUAAAAUUUUUAAAUGGGACGAGAAGACCCUAUAGAAUUUUAUUUUCUUUUUAAAAAUAAUGGUUUGGUUAUAUUUUUUGUUUUUAUUUAUAUAAAAUUUUGUUGGGGUGACAUUGAGAUUUAUUUAACUCUCAUAAUUAAAUUUUUAAUAAUUAUUAUUUUUAUGAUACUAUUUUAUGGAUAUAUAGAUUAAAUUACCUUAGGGAUAACAGCGUAAUUUUUCCGGAGA
RNAcentral lists this ribosomal RNA (356 nucleotides) under Piezodorus guildinii (redbanded stink bug). RNAcentral describes it as "partial 16S ribosomal RNA". Lineage: Eukaryota; Metazoa; Arthropoda; Insecta; Hemiptera; Pentatomidae. The record is from RNAcentral.